Oncorhynchus keta (chum salmon) is the source of this 2439-nucleotide long non-coding RNA. RefSeq lists it as uncharacterized. The record is from RefSeq and is a predicted model, not a curated record. NCBI's taxonomy places the organism in Eukaryota, Metazoa, Chordata, Actinopteri, Salmoniformes, Salmonidae. The transcript is spliced from 7 exons.
ACUGUACUACGUUUCUUCCAUAUCAGUUGACCCCCCAAAUUGGUGCCAAAUAAAGCUGCCCAAUAGGAAAUAGUACAUGCACAACUCAUCUUCCUUACAUAGUAAUACUUGACUCGGUUUAAUCGGUUUAACUGAUUGACUUGAAGUUGAAUCAUUGACUAGCCUAUAUAGUUAGAGUACACCGUUAGACUUUAUUUGAACAGUUACUUACUGCAUACAUUAACGGUAUGAUACUGUAUUGUUAUGUUCUAAAUUCUGGUACAAUAAUCCAGAUGGACCCAGAGAAACUGAAAACUGCAAAAAAAGUGCCAAUGUGUCCUCUAAACAACGAGUUCGAGGGGCAUUAUCACCUUUAUACAACAGGUUACCAACAUAUUCAAACAUACACUAAUGUUCAAAAGUUUGGGGUCAAACAAAUGUUCUUGUUUUUGAAUGAAAAGCUAAUGUUUUGACCAUGAAAAUAACAUCAAAUUGAUCCGAAAACAUUGUUAAUGUUGUAAAUGACUAUUGUUGCUGGAACACAAGUCUCAACGUCAACAGUGAAGAGGCGACUCCGGGAUGCUGGCCUUCUAGGCAGUUCCUCUGUCCAGUGUCUGUUCUUUUGCCCAUCUUAAUCUUUUAUUUUUAUUGGCCAGUCUGAGAUACGGCUUAUUCUUUGCAACUCUGCCUAGAAGACGAGCAUCCCGGAGUCGCCUCUUUACUGUUGACCUUGACUGGUGUUUUGCAGGUGCUAUUUAAUGAAGCUGCCUGUUGAGGACUGGUGAGGCGUCUGUUUCUCAAAUAUCCACUCUAAUGUACUUGUCCUCUUGUUCAGUUGUCCCCCGGGGCCUCCCACUCCUCUUUCUAUUCUGGUUAGAGCCAGUUUGCACUGUUCUGUGAAGGGAGUAGUACACAGCGCUGUACGAGAUCUUCAGUUUCUUGGCAAUUUCUUGCAUGGAAUAGCCUUCAUUUCUCAGAACAAGAACAGACUAACGAGUUUCAGAAGAAACUGUCGUAUAUAUAUCAAGAAGAGUGUGCAGGGAUAUGGGGAGCGAGCACCAGCAGGUGUCUCCAGGCCUUCUGCAGGGAUAUGGGGAGGGAGCACCAGCAGGUGUCUCCAGGCCUUCUGCAGGGAUACGGGGAGGGAGCACCAGCAGGUGUCUCCAGGCCUUCUGCAGGGAUACGGGGAGGGAGCACCAGCAGGUGUCUCCAGGCCUUCUGCAGGGAUACGGGGAGGGAGCACCAGCAGGUGUCUCCAGGCCUUCUGCAGGGAUAUCGGGAGGGAGCACCAGCAGGUGUCUCCAGGCCUUCUGCAGGGAUAUGGGGAGGGAGCACCAGCAGGUGUCUCCAGGCCUUCUGCAGGGAUACGGGGAGGGAGCACCAGCAGGUGUCUCCAGGCCUUCUGCAGGGAUAUGGGGAGGGAGCACCAGCAGGUGUCUCCAGGCCUUCUGCAGGGAUACGGGGAGGGAGCACCAGCAGGUGUCUCCAGGCCUUCUGCAGGGAUACGGGGAGGGAGCACCAGCAGGUGUCUCCAGGCCUUCUGCAGGGAUACGGGGAGGGAGCACCAGCAGGUGUCUCCAGGCCUUCUGCAGGGAUAUGGGGAGCGGGUGCUUUAUCAUGCAGAGGUCCGCUGGCUUUCCGGGGGUAAACUGUUGGGACGCUUUUAUGAGCUUCGAACAUUUAGAUUGUUAGGAAUGGCUCGCCCAUGUUGCCUAUCUGGUGGUUAUGUUUGAUAAUCUGAAUUUGCUCAAUGUGUCAAUGCAAGUGAGGGGGUACAAUAGAUUUGAAUGGACCAAAAUGAAAAACUUGCUACGAACAUUGUGUAAUAUGUCACUGCAAUGGGUAAUUGGAUUUCAGUAACAUUUUUGGUACUAUCAAAUGGAUUACCGUCAAAUGGAUUACAGUAGCUGUACUGCUAAAUAAAUUGAGGCCAGUAAGUUACUGUACAUUUUACAGGAAAUAUUUUACAGUGUACGUUAGUGUUAGUAUCCCAAUCCAAAGUAACUGUUCUGUACUUUACAGCAUGUGUCAAAUUCAUUCCAAUGCAGGGCCGAGUGUCUGCAGGUGUUUGCUUCUCUCUUGUACUUGAUUGCUGAAUUUAAAAAAAUAAAAAAAAACUUUAUUUAACCAGGCAAGUCAGUUAAGAACAUAUUCUUAUUUUCAAUGACGGCCUAGGAACAGUGGGUUAACUGCCUGUUCAGGGGCAGAACGACAGAUUUGUACCUUGUCAGCUCGGGGGUUUGAACUCACAACAUUCCGGUUACUAGUCCAACGCUCUAACCACUAGGCUACCCUGCCGCCCCAAGUAAGGUCAUAAUUAAUAAAGAACUCUCCUCACCUGGUUGUCUAGUUGAAAGGAAAAAGCAAAAAAACUGCAGGCAAUGGGCCCUCCAUGGAAAUAGUUUGACACCCCUGCUUUACAGUGUCAGUUGGAGAAGGUUUACUGUGAUUUGGUUCCCU